UGGAGCAGCUACAAUUAGAAGAACAAAGUUCAAGAAAAGUAUGCCUGCACAAUAAUAGGUAUGCAUCUUUUUCUAAACAGAAAGAAACCCUAAAACAUUUCAUACUGAUGACUGAAGAAAAAGCCAUACUUAUCUCUUCAGAAGUUCAGAAGCUCAUUGAUAAAGAUCAGGUAGCAGCUACUGCAGCAGAAGAUGAAAACAUAAUGCUAUCAGAAGAAAAUUAUGUUACUAAGACUUUAUUAAAACCACAGAACAUCGCUCUCAGAAAAUGACAUUCUUCUUGACUUGGUAAGCACGAAUGGAGGCAUGAUGAACACUGAUCACUGUGCUACAAAAAUCCUUCCACCAGUGAGAUUUCAUAAAAAAGGAAGAAUAUAUGCUAAGAGUAAAUGCAUUUCCAAAUAACCAACUUGAACAGCCAGAGUUUAUAAAUAAGGUACUUGAGAAUAUUAUACAGACUCAUAAUCUCUGUUUUUAAGUAGCUAGCAAAAAAUCUCUUAGCAUCCAAGAAACGACCACUUUUAUACACCAAAAAAGGUGAAGCUAUUCCGGAAAUUGGCAGUGUUCAGUCUUUCCAAGAGUCUCAUUUAGAACUUUGUGACCACAGAUGUGAAAUUACUAGGUAUCUAUGUACUAAAAAUUUUUAUCAAUAACUGAAGUAAUAGCAACUGUACCUGCAUGCCAAAGCUGCAAAUGCACUUCAGAAAGGAUGGUCAGAACGAUUCGAUUGACUCUACUUCUCAGAGAGGAGAGGUUUCAGGCCUUAAAAAGCCUAGACAGUGUUAAUUACUCACGUAUACAGGAUUUUGUUUUGGUUUAGAUCUUAAAGUCCCACUGACUUUCAACAUGACUUGCAUGCCUAACUCAGGACAGAGCCUUUGGAAAAUUUUCCACUGACUACAGACUCCUGUGGUCUAGCUUAUCCAGGGACCCUAAACCCCAGUUUCCUAGAAGCCUUAUGUGCCUGCUGGGAGUUGUGACCUACAUUAGCAGGACUAGCAAAGUCUCCCGAUGUAGUUUGUCAGCUGCUACUUAAACAGGCUCUAGUCACAGCCCUAAGAGAAAGCAAGAACCAAAAACCGGUCAGACAGAAUAAGAUCAGGGAGAGGUAAGACAACCAAAAUAUGCUACUGCCAUUUUGCAGGUGAGAGACUGAAAAAUCUCUCUCAAAAUAGCACAAUUAAAUGCUUGUAGUUGUGGAAGGCUCAACGUAGGCAUUUCCUCCAUGCUUCAGGU
Molecule: long non-coding RNA, 1236 nt
Filed under: Dromaius novaehollandiae (emu)
Lineage: Eukaryota; Metazoa; Chordata; Aves; Casuariiformes; Dromaiidae
Description: lncRNA (ENSDNVG00000016979.1)
Source: RNAcentral